RNAcentral lists this transfer RNA (74 nucleotides) under Lachnospiraceae bacterium OF11-28. Its description in RNAcentral is "tRNA-Lys". It matches the Rfam family "tRNA". From Rfam's summary of the family: Transfer RNA (tRNA) molecules are approximately 80 nucleotides in length. Their secondary structure includes four short double-helical elements and three loops (D, anti-codon, and T loops). The record is from RNAcentral. Lineage: Bacteria; Bacillati; Bacillota; Clostridia; Lachnospirales; Lachnospiraceae.
UCAGGCGUAGCUCAGUAAGCAGAGCAGCUGAUACUUAAUCAGCGUGUCGGGGGUGCAAGUCCUUCCGUCCUGGU